CUCAGGNCGGAACGCUGGCGGCGUUGCUUAACACAUNCAAGUCGANCGAUGAANCUCCUUCGGGAGUGGAUUAGCGGCGGACGGGUGAGUAACACGUGGGUAACCUGCCUCGUAGAGGGGAAUANCCUUCCGAAAGGAAGAUUAAUACCGCAUAAGAUUGUAGUUUCGCAUGAAACAGCAAUUAAAGGAGUAAUCCGCUAUGAGAUGGACCCGCGUCGCAUUAGCUAGUUGGUGAGGUAACGGCUCACCAAGGCGACGAUGCGUAACCGACCUGAGAGGGUGAUCGGCCACAUUGGGACUGAGACACGGCCCAGACUCCUACGGGAGNCAGCAGUGGGGAAUAUUGCACAAUGGGGGAAACCCUGAUGCANCAACGCCGCGUGAGUGAUGACGGUCUUCGGAUUGUAAAACUCUGUCUUCAGGGACGAUAAUGACGGUACCUGAGGAGAA
Molecule: ribosomal RNA, 450 nt
Filed under: uncultured eubacterium HRS-6
Lineage: Bacteria; Bacillati; Bacillota; Clostridia; Eubacteriales
Description: bacterial SSU rRNA
Rfam family: Bacterial small subunit ribosomal RNA
Source: RNAcentral